Non-coding RNA from Pelobates cultripes (western spadefoot toad), 386 nucleotides. Lineage: Eukaryota; Metazoa; Chordata; Amphibia; Anura; Pelobatidae. The record is from the annotation of a GenBank genome assembly.
CUCUAAUCAAUGUUCUGCUAGUAAAUCUUGGGUCCCAGCAUUCAUAUGGAUGUUACUUGGACAUGUACCACCUACCUACCUACCACCUAACCUCCAAAUUCCUUAGAUCUCAAUCCGAUUGAGCAUCUGUGGGUUGUGCUGGAAUAACAUAUUCGAUCAAUGGAAGCCCUACCUUGCAACUUACAGGACUUAAGGGUUCUGCUGCUAAUGUCUUGGUGUUAAAUACCACAGGGCACAUUCAGAGGUCUUGGGGAUUCCAUGCCUCAACGCAUCAGAACUGUUUUGGUAGCAUGAGGGGGACCUUCAAGAUACUUGACAGUGGUCUUAAUAUUUAGGCUGAUCAGUGUAUCUUAUAAAGGUUAUAGGCACCACUCCUUUGGCAGUAC